This is a long non-coding RNA of Gopherus flavomarginatus (Mexican gopher tortoise), 807 nucleotides long. RefSeq lists it as uncharacterized. NCBI's taxonomy places the organism in Eukaryota, Metazoa, Chordata, Testudines, Testudinidae. The record is from RefSeq and is a predicted model, not a curated record. The transcript is spliced from 5 exons.
AAAAAACUAAACAAGGCUGUUAAAGAAAUAUUGCUAAUACAAGACUUCUACCGUUAUGGGAAGCAACAACAUGGACGAGAACUUUUUUCUUGACAUUCCAGAUGCCGCGCUAGAAGCUUUAAAUUUUGACUUAUCAAGCGUUAUUCCUCAAGAAGAAAUGUUGAAGGGAAGAGCGCUUAAAGGGGCCAAGAAAUUUCCCUCUGAGGCAGCUGCAGUUGGAAGCAAGGGAUUGGUUGGUUCAGGAAAAUGAAUUCUAUGACGCUGUUGUAAAACCACCUCUGAUUGGGCCGAUCCAAAAGCGGUGAUAACAAGCUGGAGAGUGUCAGAAGCAGGAAAUCUCCCUCAUUCUACAGAAAGACGGGCAAAGGGUUAAACCAGAAAAGCUGCCUCGUUUUACAAAAAGACUGCAAAGGUAAACAUUUUUUAAUUUUACCCUGAGCUUUAUUGUAUUUUUCUUAGCCACUUUUUUAUAGAGUUUUUACCCUGUGCUUACAGAACAGGCUUUCUCUUUGUCAAUUUUCCUUUUAAACCUCGUUUUUUUCUUAACCUACAUUGGUAUUGACUAGUUUUAAUACGUUUUAUUCACUUUUAUUACACUGCCUUAGUACAUUUUCUUUUAAACCUAGUUUUUAAUGUUUUUAAAAGCCUUUUUCUUAGGACCCCUUUACAGUUUUUGGCCAUGUGCUUACUUAACAGGUUUUGCUUCAGUCAAUUCCCCUUUUAAACCUAGCUGUAUUGUUUUUAAUAUUACUUAAUAAUAUUAAAAAGCUUUUUAUAACCUAUGUUGGCAGUCAAAAGUUUCAAUCC